This 9316-nucleotide long non-coding RNA is filed under the name Amborella trichopoda. RNAcentral's name for it is "long non-coding RNA (ATRI_LNC004786)". The record is from RNAcentral. Lineage: Eukaryota; Viridiplantae; Streptophyta; Magnoliopsida; Amborellales; Amborellaceae.
UGUGUGUGUGAGUGUGAGUGUGUGUGUGUGUGUGAGUGUGAGUGUGAGUGUGAGUGUGAGUGUGAAUUUUAGUUUGUGUGUGUGUGUGUGUGUAUGUGUGAGUGUGUGUGAGUGUGUGUGUGAGUGUGUGGUGUGUGUAUGUGUGAGUGUGUGUGAGUGUGUGUGUGAGUGUGUGGUGUGUGGUGUGUGUUGUGUGUGCGUGUUAAGAAAAAGUGACUUAAUAAAAUUGCAAACCACAAGUAAAGCUUUAGAAAAUUCACUCCGUAUUUGCAUGAAAGAAGUAAGAGCAGUACUAUACUAGAGAAGAAAGAACCAUUAAUUAAAUCAAGCUUUCAAGUUCAAGAUCUCAAAUAUCAAAAAACGUAAAGAGAUCCGCCUCGAUGAUAAGUUGCAUUCAUGCUUGUUGAAUUACAAGCAAACUCAAUGAAGAUGAAGCUCAUCAACAAUAAUAAAAACAAGUACAAAUAUAUGAUAAAAACUUUAGAUGGACUAUCACAAGUGGGUAUUUUAGCAUACCUAAUACAUCAAGAGAAGAAAUUCAUUCUUAUGCCUAAUUCUAAACAAAGUAAUAUGGAAUUUCGCCUAGGCUUAUCUGAUUAGAGGUGAUAGCCAGAAGAAAUAAUCUCCUUCUUUAAUACCUAAUUUUAUCACAAUUUGGAAAUUGUAUAUGGUAGGAAAAAUCAUUCACAGAGAAGAAAAUCAUUCGAAUGGUAAGAAUUAAGAGGACAAAAAUCAAAAAGGAGGGGGCAGGGGGAUCUGUCCCUUUACCUUGUUGGCUGCAACUGGCAGCUGUGCUUUCAUAUACAUAUCAAUAUCCAUCUACGCUAAUAACUGUAUAAACUGAUAAAAAGUGUAUAUAUGGUCAUAAACAUCGAUGUAUAUAAAAAUGUAUAUAUGUACUAUCAAUUUGUAAGGGUGCAUGUGCGUACGCAUAUCAAUGUAUAUAUAACAGACAACAAGUUUAUACAUACACGCAUAAACAUAUCAGUAUAUACAUAUCGUAUAUAUACACACUGUAUAUAUAUAAACUGCUAAUAUAUGUCCUUAUGGUCGCAUAUAUUAGUGUAUGAAGAAUGCAUGUAUUAGUGUAUACAUACACAGUAUAUAUGAACUUAUCAACGCGUAAAGGUGCAUGUGCGUGCAUAUAUCAAUGCAUACAUAUAUUGAUAAUUGUAUAUAACUGAUAGCAAACAAUUGUGUACAUACACAUAACAAUAUCAGUAUAUACAUAUCGUAUUAUAUAUACACACAUUAGUCCAUACACACCACACAUAUAUGUGUAGUAUAUAUAUCUGUGAGUGUCAGUGUCAGUGUCAGUGUGUGUGUGUGGGUGAGUGUGAGUGUGAGUGCGAGUGUGUGUGUAGUAUACAUAUAUGUUAAUAACUGUAUAAAUUGAUAAAUACUGUAUAUAUCGUCAUAUAUACCAAUGUAUAUAUUAAUGCACUGUAUAUAUACAGUUAAACACUUUAAACAUACAUAUAUAUCAGUAUAUACACAUCGUAUAUAUACAGACAUCACACACAUACAUACACAGAUAUCAGUGUAUUUUUUACACACUAAUAACUAUACAUAUAUCAGAUAACUAAUGUAUUGUAUGGUUGUAUGCAUCAGUAUGUAUAUAUAUACUGAAAACAAUGGUCUAUAUUGUUAUAUAUCAAUUCGUACACAAAUUGAGCGCAUAACUGUAUAUAUUACUGAUAAUAAGUAUAUAUAUGGUCUUUUACAUAAGUGUACAUAUAAACCCUUUAUACAUAUGCAUAUGAAUGUGCGUAUAUACAUUUCAUUAUACAUAUACACUAACAACUGUAUGCGUAGAAUACAUAUGUGUAGAAUAUAUAUCUUUGAGUGUGAGUGUGAGUGUAUGUGAGAGUCAGUGUGUGUGUGACGGUGUGUGUGAGUGUGAGUGCGAGUGUGAGUGUGUGUGGGUGUUUAGUAUAUAAAUUGCUGUACAUAAACAUUAAUAAUUGUAUAAACUGAUAAUAAAUAUAUAUAUGAUCAUAUACAUCAAUGUAUAUAGCAAUGUACAUAUUAAUGCACUGUAUAUAUACAGUUUACACUUACACACAUAUCAAAAUAUACACACACAUCGUAUAUAUACAGACAUCACGCACACACACACACAUAUCAACAUAUUUUUUACACACUAAUAACUGUAUAUAUAGCUGAUAACUAAUGUAUUGUAAGGUUAUAUGCAUCAGUCUAUAUAUAUAUAUAUAUAUAUACUGAAAACAAUGGUAUAUAUUAUUAUAAAUCAAUACGUACACAAAUUGUGCUAAUAACUAUAUAUAUCACUGAUAAUAAAGUUUAUACAUGAUCUUAUAUUUUAGUGUAUAUAUAAACCGUUUAUACUUGCAAAUGAGUAUGCAUAUAAAGAUAUCAAGGUAUAUAUACGUUAACAACUAAUAAAUUGAUAAGGGUGUAUAUUGAAAUGUUUGUAUGCAAUAUCAAUGCAUAAGGGUGCAUAUGCGUGUGCAUAUCAGUGCAUAUAUAACUGAAAUGUUUAUGUGUGUAGCAAGUUUAUACAUACACGCAUAAACACAUCAGUAUAUACAUGUCAUAUAUAUACACAUUGUAUAUAUCACUGAUAAUAAAGUAUAUACAUGGUCUUGUACUUUAGUGUAUAUACAAACUGAUAAUAAGGGUCUAUAUGAUCAUACAUAUCAGUCUAUCCGUAAUGCACGUAUUAGUGUAAACCUAAACAAUAUGUACGCACUUAUCAACGUGUAAGGGUGCAUGUGCGUGCGCAUAUCAGUGUAUACAAACAUUAAUAAUUGUAUAUAACUGGUAGCAAUCAACUGUAUACAUAGACGCAUAAACAUAUUAGUAUAUACAUAUCGUAUAUAUACACAUCAGUCCAAACACAACACGCAUAUAUGUGUAGUAUAUAUAUCUGUGAGUGUGAGUGUGAGAGUGUGUUUUGUAGUAUAUAAAUCAGUGAGAGUGUGUGAGUGUGUGUUUGUGUGUAUAUAUGUGUGUGUGUAGUAUAUAAAUCAGUGAACAUAUAGGUGGUUACAAACCGUAUAAACUGAUAAUAAGUGUAUAUAUGGUCAUAUACAUCAAUGUAUAUAGAAACGUAUAUAUUUUAACACACUAAUAACUGUAUAUAUACAAUUAUGCAUUUUACACACUAUGCACUUUACACACAAACAUAUCAAUAUAUACUCAUCGCAUCGAUACAGAUAUCACACACACACACGCAUAUCAAUAUUAUUAUUACACACUAAUAACUAUAUAUAUAACUGAUAAUUAAUGUGCGAGUGUGAGUGUGAGUGUGAAUGUGUGUGUGAGUGUGAGUGUGAGUGUGUGGAUAUAAUAUAUAAAUCAGUGUACAUAUAUGUUAAUAAAUUUAUAAACUAAUAAUAAGUGUAUAUAUGGUCAUAUACAUCAAUGUAUAUAGAAAUAUAAACAUUAAAUGCAUUGUAUAUAUACAGUUAUUUACACUAUAUAAAUCAGUGUACAUAUACGUUAAUAAAUUUAUAAACUAAUAAUAAGUGUAUAUAUAGUCAUGUACAUCAAUAUAUAUAGAAAUAUAAACAUUAAAUGCAUUGUAUAUAUAUAAUUAUUUACACAUACACAAAAAACUCUAGAUACAUAUCGUAUAUAUACUGACAUCACACACACAUAUCAAUGUAUUUUUACACACUAGUAAUUGUACAUAUAGCCAAUAACUAAUGUAUUCUAUGCUUAUAUACAUCAAUUCGUAAACAUAUAGAGCUAAUAACUAUAUAUAUCACUGAUAAUAAGUAUAUACAUGGUCUUAUACAUUAGUGUGAGUAAGAGUGAGUGUGAGUAUGUGUGUGUGGUGUGUGUGUGUGUGUAAAGAAAAAGUUAAUAAAAUUGCAAACCACAAGUCAAGCUCCAGAAAAUUCACUCCAUAUUUGCAUGAAUGAAGCAAAAGUGUGUUAAGAAAAAGUUACUUAAUAAAAUUGCAAACCACAAGUAAAGUUCCAAAAAUUUCACUCCAUAUUUGCAUGAAAGAAGCAAAAGCAGUACUGUAAUAGAGAAGAAAGAACCAUCAAGACGAUCAAGCGUGCAAUAUCAAGAUCUCAAAUAUCAAAUAAUGUAAAGAGAUCCACCUGUAUGGUAAGUUGCUUUCAUGCUUGUUGAUUUACAAGAAAACUCAAUGAAGAUGAAGCUCAUCAAUAAUAAUGAAAACAAGUACAAAUAAGAUAAAAAAUUUACCUGGACUAUCACAAUAGGGUAUUUAGCAUACCCAAUUCAUCAAGAGAAGAAACCUAUUCUUAUGCCUAAUUCUACACAAAGUAAUAAGGAAUUUCGCCAAGGCAAAUCAAAUUACAGGUGAUAGUAUAUAUACUUGUGAGUGUGAGUGUGAAAGAAGCAAGAGCAGUAAUAUAUCACUCCAUAUUUGCAUGAGAGAAGCAAGAGUAGUGCUAUACUACAGAAGAAAGAACCAUUAAGCAAAUCAAGCUUACAAGAUCAAGAUAUCAAAUAUCGAAUAACGUAAAGAAAUCUGCCUCGAUGAUAAAUUUCUUUCAUGCUUGUUGAUUAACAGGAAAACUCGACGAAGAUGAAGCUCAUCAAUAAUAAUAAAAACAUGUACAAAUAAGAUAAAAAAUUUAGAUGGACUAUCACAAUUGGGUAUCUACAUACCCAAUUCAUCCAGAGAAGAAACCCAUUCUUAUGCCCAAUUUUAUACAAAGUAAUAUGGAAUUUCGCCUAGGCUUAUCAGAUUAGACUUGAUACUAAAUAUAUAUCUGUGAGUGUGAGUGUGUGUGUGAGUGUGAGUGUGAGUGUGUCAGUGUAUGUGUGUGAGUGUGAGUGUGAGUGUGAGUGUGAGUGCGCGUGUGUGUGCGUGUGUAUGCAGUAUAUAAAUCAGUGUACAUAUACGUUAAUAAAUUUAUAACUGAUAAUAAGUGUAUAUAUGGUCAUAUACAUCAAUGUAUAUAAAAAUAUAAAUAUUAAUGCAUUGUAUAUAUACAGUUAUUUAUACAUACACAAAAAUCCGUAUAUACACAUCGUAUAUACACUGACAUCAAACACACACAUAUCAAUGUAUUUUUACACACUAGUAACUGUACAUAUAGCGAAUAACUAAUGUAUUCUAUGCUUAUAUACAUCAAUACAUAAACAUAUAGAGCUAAUAACUGUAUAUAUCACUGAUAAUAAGUAUAUACAUGGUCUUAUAAAUUAGUGUACAUAUAACCUCAUUCUUAUACAUUAGUGUUAGUGUGAGCGUGAGUGUGAGUGAGAGUGUGAGUAUGAGUAUGUGUGUGUGGUGUGUGUGUGUGUCAAGAAAAAGUUGAUAAAAGUGCAAACCACAAGUAAAGCUCCAGAAAAUUCACUCCAUAUUUGCAUGAAAGAAGCAAGAGUGUUUGUGUGUUAAGGAAAAGUUACUUAAUAAUAUUGAAAACCACAAGUGAAGCUCUAGAAAAUUCACUCCAUACUUGGAUGAAAGAACCAAAAGCAGUAUUCUAAUAGAGAAGAAAGAACCAUCAAGCAGAUCAAGUUUGCAAUAUCAAGAUCUCAAAUAUUGAAUAACGUAAACGAUCCCCGUCCUAUGAUAGGUUACUUUCAUGCAUGUUGAUUUACAAGAAAACUCAAUGAAGAUGAGGCUCAUCAGUAAUAAUAAAAACAAGCACAAAUAAGAUAAAAAAUUUACAUGGACUAUCACAAUAGGGUAUUUAGCGUACCCAAUUCAUCAAGAGAAGAAACCCAUUCUUAUGCCUAAUUCUAUACAAAGUAAUAAGGAACUUCACCAAGGCUAAUCAAAUUACAGGUGAUAGUAUAUAUAUUUGUCAGUGUGAGUGUGAGUGUGAGUGAGUGUGAGUGUGCGUGUGAGUGUGAGUGUGAGUGUGAAUAAGUGUGAGUGUGAGUGUGAGUGUGAGUGCGAGUGCGAGUGCGAGUGCGAGUGUAAGUGUGUGGGUUUGAGUGUGUGUGUGUGUGUAUGAGUGAGUGUGAGUGUGAGUGUGAUUGUGAGGAUGAGAGUGAGUGUGAGUGUGAGUGUGUGUGUGUGUGUAGUAUAUAAAUCAGUGUACAUAUACGAUAAUAAAGGUAUAAACUAAUAAUGAAUAUAUAUGGUUAUAUACAUCAAUGUAUAUAUAUAAAUGUAUAUAUUAAUGCACUGUAUAUAUAAAUGUAUAUAUUAAUGCACUGUAUAUAUACAUUUAUGCACUUUACACAUACACACAAAUCCGUAUAUACACAUCGUAUAUCUACAGACAUUACACACACACAUAUCAAUGUAUUUUUGCACACUAGUAACUGUAUAUAUAGCUGAUAACUAACGUAUUGUAUGGCUAUAUGCAGCAGUUUAUAUAUAUAAUCUGAAAAGAAUGGUAUAUAUUAAUAUACAUCAAUACAUACACAAAUUGAGCUAAUAAUUGUAUAUAAAUCACUGAUAAUAAGUAUAUACAUGGGCUUAUAUAUUAGUGCAUAUAUAAACCCAUUAUACAUAUGCAUAUGAGUGUGAGUAUAUACAUAUCAGUGUACAUAAACACCAAUAACUGUAUAAAUUGAUAAGAAGUGUCCAUAUGGUCAUAUAUAUCAGUGUAUAUAGAAAUGUAUAUGCAUUAUCAAUGCGUAAGGGUGCAUGUGCGUGCGGAUAUCAGUGUACAUAUAACUCAUAGGAAGUUUAUAGAUACAUGCAUAAAUAGAUCAGUAUAUACAUAUCGUAAAUAUGCACACUGUAUAUAUAUGUAAAGUGCUAAUAAGUGUCUAUAUGAUUAUAUAUAUCAGGGUAUAUAGUAUGCAUGUAUUAGUGUAAACAUCCACAGUAUAUAUGCACUUAUCAAUACGUAAGGGUGCAUGUGCAUAUAUGUAUCAGUGUAUACAUCAUACAUUGACAAUUGUAUAUAAUUGAAAGCAAACAAUUGUAUUUAUACACGCAUAAACAUAUCACCGUAUAUAUACACACAUCAGUCCAUACACAACACUCAUAUCAGUGUACUAUAUAUCUGAGUGUGAGUGUGAGUGUGAGUGCGUGUUAAUGUGUUUGACUGGGUGUGGGCGUGAGAGUGUGUGUGUGAGUGUGAGUGUGUGUGUGAGUGUGAGUGUGUGAAUGUAAGCAUGAGCGUGAGUGUGUGAGCGUUAUUGUGUGUGAGUGUGUGUGUGUGUGAGUGUGUGUGAGUGUGAGUGUGUAUGUGUGAGUGAGUGUGUUUGUGUGAGUGUGUGUGUGUAUGUGGUGUGUGUAGGUGUGUGUGUUAAGAAAAAGUUACUUAAUGAAAUUGAAAACCACAAGUAAUACUCCAGAAAAUUCAUUCCAUAUUUUCAUGAAAGAAGCAAGAGUGUGUGUGUGAUAAGAAAAGGUUACUUAAAAAAUUUCAAGCCACAAGUAAAGUUUCAGAAAAUUCACUUCAUUUUUGCAUGAAAGAAGAAAGAGAAGUAUUAUACUAGAGAAGAAAGAACCAUUAAUCAAAUCAAGCUUGCAAGAUCAAGAUCUCAAAUAUCGAAUAACGUAAAGAGAUCCACCCCGAUGAUAAGUUUCUUUCAUGCUUGUUGCUUUACAAGCAAACUCGAUGAAGAUGAAGCUCAUCAAUAAUAAUAGAAACAAGUACAAAUAAGACAAAAAAUUUAGAUGGACUAUCACAAUUGGGUAUUUAGCAUACUCAAUUCAUCAAUAGAAGAAACCCAUUUUUAUGCCUAAUUUUAUACAAAGCAAUAUCAAAUUUCACCUAGGCUUAUCAGAUUAGAGGUGAUAGCCAGAAAAAAUAAUCUCCUUCUUGAAGGCCUGAAUUUAUCACAGUUUGGAAAAUUGUAUACGGAAAAAUCAUUCACAUGGAAGAUAAUGAUUCGAAUGGAAAGAAUUGAGAGGAAAAUAAUCAAAAAAGAAGGGGGGGGGAUAUGUUUAACCUUAUUGGCUGCAACAACCACCUGUGCAUUCAUAUACAUAUCAAUGUACAUCUACACUAAUAACAAUAGAAACUGUUAAAAAUUUUAUAUAUGGUUUAUAUCAGCGUACAUAAAAAUACAUAUAUACGCAAUCAAUGCAUAAGGGUGCAUGUGCGUGCGCAUAUCAGUGUAUAUAUAACUGAUAGCAAGUUUAUACAUACAUGCAUAAACAUAUCAGUAUAUACACUGUAUAUAUAUAUAUAUAUAUAUAAACUGUUAAUAUAUGUCUAUAUGGUCAUAUAUAUCAGUGUAUAUAGAAUGCAUGUAUAAGUGUAUGCAUACACCUUAUAUAUGCACUUAUCAACGCGUAAGGAUGCAUGUGUGUGCACAUAUCAGUAUAUAUAUAUUGAUAAUUGUAUAGAACUGAUAGCAAGCAACUGUAUACAUACACGCAUAAACAUAUCAGUAUAUACAUGUCGUAUAUAUACACACAAUAGUCCAUACACAACAUGCAUAUAUGUGUAGUAUAAAUAUCUAUGAGUGUGAAUGUGAGUGUGUGUGUGUCUAAGUGUGAGUGUAUGUGAGUGAGUGCGAGUGCGAGUGGGAGUGUGAGUGUGCGUGUGAGUGUGAGUGUGAGUGUGAGUGUGAGUGAGUGUGAGUGUGAGUGUGAGUGUGUGUGAGUGUGAGUGUGAGUGUGAGCAUGAGUGUGAGUGUGUGUAGUAUAUAUAAAUCAGUGUACAUAUAUGUUACUAACUGUAUAAACUGAUAAUAAGUGUAUAUAUGGUCAUAUACAUCAAUGUAUAUAUAGAAAUGUACAUAUUAUAGUCAUAUAAUGCACUGUAUAUAUAAAGUUAUGCCCUUUACACAUACACACAUAUCAGUAUAUAUACAUACACACACAUACAUGUCAAUGUAUUUUGUACGCACUAAUAAGUAUAUAUAGAGCUGAUAACUAAUGUUUUGUAUGGUUAUAUACAUUAGUAUAUAAAAAUACACUGAAAACAAUGGUAAACAUUGUUAUACAUCAAUACGUACACAAAUUGAGCUAAUAACUGUAUAUAUCACUGAUAAACCCAUUAUACAUAUGCAUAUGAGUGUACGUAUAUACAUAUCAGUGUACAUAUGCACUAGUAACUGUAUAAAUCAAUAAUUGUCAGUAUAUACAUAUCGUAUAUAUACACACAUCAGCCAAUUCACAACAUGCAUAUAUGUGUAGUAUAAAUAUCUGUGAGAGUGAGUGUGCGUGUGAGUGUGAGCAUGAGUGUGAGUGUGAGUGUGAGUUGAGUGUGAGUGUGAGUGUGAGUGUGAGUGUGUGAGCGUGAGUGUGUGUGUGUGUGAGUGUGUGUGCAUGUGAGUGUGAGUGUGAGUGUGAGUGUGAGUGUGAAUGUGAGUGUGAGUGUGAGUGUGAGUGUGAGUGUGAGUGUGAGUGUGAGUGUGAGUGUAAGUGUGAGUGAGUGAGUGUGUGUCAGUGUGUGUGUGAGUGUGAGUGUGAGUGUUAGUGUGAGUGUGAGUGUGAGUGUGAGUGUGA